GAUGAAGAACGUAGCGAAAUGCGAAAAGUAAUGUGAAUUGCAGAAUUCAGUGAAUCAUCGAAUCUUUGAACGCACAUUGCGCCCGCCAGUAUUCUGGCGGGCAUGCCUGUCUGAGCGUCAUUUCAACCCUCAUGCCCCUAGGGCGUGGUGUUGGGGAUCGGCCAGCGCCCGCGAGGGACGGCCGGCCCCUAAAUCUAGUGGCAGACCCGUCGUGGCCUCCCCUGCGAAGUAGUGAUAUUCCGCAUAGGAGAGCGACGAGCCCCUGCCGUUAAACCCCCAACUUUCUAAGGUUGACCUCAGAUCAGGUAGGAAUACCCGCUGAACUUAAGCAUAUCAAUAAGCGGAGGA
This 348-nucleotide unclassified non-coding RNA is filed under the name soil metagenome. RNAcentral's name for it is "partial contains 5.8S ribosomal RNA, internal transcribed spacer 2, and large subunit ribosomal RNA". The stretch from base 1 to 120 matches the Rfam family "5.8S ribosomal RNA", at positions 35 to 154 of the family's 154-position model. The record is from RNAcentral.